AUGAAGGCCUCUGGGCUGUAAACCUCUUUUAUCAAGGAAGAAGAUCUGACGGUACUUGAUGAAUAAGCCACGGCUAAUUCCGUGCCAGCAGCCGCGGUAAUACGGGAGUGGCAAGCGUUAUCCGGAAUUAUUGGGCGUAAAGCGUCCGCAGGCGGUCUUGUAAGUCUGUCGUUAAAGCGUGGAGCUUAACUCCAUUUCGGCGGUGGAAACUACAAGACUAGAGUGUGGUAGGGGCAGAGGGAAUUCCCGGUGUAGCGGUGAAAUGCGUAGAUAUCGGGAAGAACACCAGUGGCGAAGGCGCUCUGCUGGGCCAUAACUGACGCUCAUGGACGAAAGCCAGGGGAGCGAAAGGGAUUAGAUACCCCUGUAGUCCUGGCCGUAAACGAUGAACACUAGGUGUCGGGGGAAUCGACCCCCUCGGUGUCGUAGCCAACGCGUUAAGUGUUCCGCCUGGGGAGUACGCACGCAAGUGUGAAACUCAAAGGAAUUGACGGGGGCCCGCACAAGCGGUGGAGUAUGUGGUUUAAUUCGAUGCAACGCGAAGAACCUUACCAGGGUUUGACAUCCUGCGAAUCCCUUGGAAACGAGGGAGUGCCUUCGGGAGCGCAGUGACAGGUGGUGCAUGGCUGUCGUCAGCUCGUGUCGUGAGAUGUUGGGUUAAGUCCCGCAACGAGCGCAACCCACGUUUUUAGUUGCCAGCAUUCAGUUGGGCACUCUAGAAAGACUGCCGGUGAUAAACCGGAGGAAGGUGUGGAUGACGUCAAGUCAUCAUGCCCCUUACAUCCUGGGCUACACACGUACUACAAUGCUACGGACAAAGGGCAGCAAACUCGCGAGAGCUAGCAAAUCCCAUAAACCGUGGCUCAGUUCAGAUCGUAGGCUGCAACUCGCCUACGUGAAGGCGGAAUCGCUAGUAAUCGCAGGUCAGCAUACUGCGGUGAAUACGUUCCCGGGCCUUGUACACACCGCCCGUCACACCAUGGAAGUUGGCCACGCCCGAAGUCGUUACUCCAACCCUUGUGGAGGAGGACGCCGAAGGUGGGGCUGAUGACUGGGGUGAAGUCGUAACAAGGUAGCCGUACCGGAAGGUGCGGCUGGAUCACCUCCUAACAGGGAGACAACAACUGAUUUUGAUGUCUGAGUAAUUUAUUCUCAGGCCGAAAUCCUGUCAUCUCGAAGGUCGAUCGGUACCUCAACUUGAGGGUCUAGAGAAUUUAUUCUGCUAGGUCAACUCAAUUUCAGUUCCUAAACUUUGUCUAGGUCACCCACUAAGGGUAAAUAACUCCUGGGCCAUUAGCUCAGGUGGUUAGAGCGCACCCCUGAUAAGGGUGAGGUCCCUGGUUCAAGUCCAGGAUGGCCCAUUCGUGUUUGGGGGUUUAGCUCAGUUGGUAGAGCGCCUGCUUUGCAAGCAGGAUGUCAGCGGUUCGAGUCCGCUAACCUCCAUCCAACAGGAGGCCCCUUAGUUCGAAUUCUGAAAGGAGUUCCUGGUGAGGUGACAGAGAUUAAAUUCGGAACUGGCAUUGAGAAAUGGCCAGAAAGCAACGCUGAGUCACGUGACUCCAGCCUCGUUUCAUUCCAGAGUUGAUGAUCUAACAAGAGAUCAACCGGUUGAAACGAUGCUGGACUCAAGGCUUUUAACCAAAGCCUUAAGUUUCAGCAGAACCUUGACAACUGCAUAGGUAAGUCUGGAAAUAAAGCAUCUCAUGGAUGCCCAGAUGCAAAAGAGAUCAAGUGAGGGUGAAUAGCCUGAGCUUGAAAUUUUAGUGUUUGGGAAAAUUCUAUUGAGUUUUUAGAGCCGAGAAAUCCAAUGGUUCUUUUCAGCCAUCCAAGUUAACUGCGUGGAAGGCUAGAAGAGUUUGAUCCUGACAUUCAAGUCUGAUUGAGCUGACCUGAAAGGGUGAGCUUGAAAAGAUACUGAAUCCAGAGAGAAUGGGCCUCAACAGCCUGAAGCCAUUGGAGGAUAAUUUGGUCAAG
Molecule: unclassified non-coding RNA, 1974 nt
Filed under: uncultured cyanobacterium
Lineage: Bacteria; Bacillati; Cyanobacteriota
Description: bacterial SSU rRNA
Rfam family: Bacterial small subunit ribosomal RNA (bases 1-1110)
Source: RNAcentral